Molecule: ribosomal RNA, 1287 nt
Filed under: metagenome
Description: bacterial SSU rRNA
Rfam family: Bacterial small subunit ribosomal RNA
Source: RNAcentral
UAGCUAGUUGGUGAGGUAAAGGCUUACCAAGGCGACGAUCUGUAGCGGGUCUGAGAGGAUGAUCCGCCACACUGGAACUGAGACACGGUCCAGACUCCUACGGGAGGCAGCAGUGGGGAAUUUUGGACAAUGGGGGCAACCCUGAUCCAGCCAUGCCGCGUGAGUGAAGAAGGCCUUCGGGUUGUAAAGCUCUUUCGGCCGGGAAGAAAUCGCAUGGGCCAAUACCCUGUGUGGAUGACGGUACCGGAAUAAGAAGCACCGGCUAACUACGUGCCAGCAGCCGCGGUAAUACGUAGGGUGCGAGCGUUAAUCGGAAUUACUGGGCGUAAAGCGUGCGCAGGCGGUUUUGUAAGACAGGCGUGAAAUCCCCGGGCUUAACCUGGGAGCUGCGUUUGUGACUGCAAGGCUAGAGUACGGCAGAGGGGGGUGGAAUUCCACGUGUAGCAGUGAAAUGCGUAGAGAUGUGGAGGAACACCAAUGGCGAAGACAGCCCCCUGGGUCGAUACUGACGCUCAUGCACGAAAGCGUGGGUAGCAAACAGGAUUAGAUACCCUGGUAGUCCACGCCCUAAACUAUGUCAACUAGGUGUUGGGUGGGUAAAACCAUUUAGUACCGUAGCUAACGCGUGAAGUUGACCGCCUGGGGAGUACGGCCGCAAGGUUAAAACUCAAAGGAAUUGACGGGGACCCGCACAAGCGGUGGGUGAUGUGGAUUAAUUCGAUGCAACGCGAAAAACCUUACCUACCCUUGACAUGCCAGGAACUUGCCAGAGAUGGCUUGGUGCCCGAAAGGGAGCCUGGACACAGGUGCUGCAUGGCUGUCGUCAGCUCGUGUCGUGAGAUGUUGGGUUAAGUCCCGCAACGAGCGCAACCCUUGUCGUUAAUUGCCAUCAUUUAGUUGGGCACUUUAACGAGACUGCCGGUGACAAACCGGAGGAAGGUGGGGAUGACGUCAAGUCCUCAUGGCCCUUAUGGGUAGGGCUUCACACGUCAUACAAUGGUCGGUACAAAGGGUUGCCAAGCCGCGAGGCGGAGCCAAUCCCAGAAAGCCGAUCGUAGUCCGGAUUGCAGGCUGCAACUCGCCUGCAUGAAGUCGGAAUCGCUAGUAAUCGUGGAUCAGCAUGUCACGGUGAAUACGUUCCCGGGUCUUGUACACACCGCCCGUCACACCAUGGGAGCGGGUUCCGCCAGAAGUAGGUAGCCUAACCGCAAGGGGGGCGCUUACCACGGCGGGGUUCGUGACUGGGGUGAAGUCGUAACAAGGUAGCCGUAGGGGAACCUGCGGCUG